GCGAGGCAGAGCAAAUCUCCAAAAGCCGUCCCAGUUCGGAUUGCAGGCUGCAACCCGCCUGCAUGAAGUUGGAAUCGCUAGUAAUCGCGGAUCAGCAUGCCGCGGUGAAUACGUUCCCGGGCCUUGUACACACCGCCCGUCACACCAUGAGAGUCGGGAACACCCGAAGUCCGUAGCCUAACCGCAAGGGGGGCGCGGCCGAAGGUGGGUUCGAUAAUUGGGGUGAAGUCGUAACAAGGUAAC
This 243-nucleotide ribosomal RNA is filed under the name uncultured bacterium. Its description in RNAcentral is "partial 16S ribosomal RNA". It matches the Rfam family "Bacterial small subunit ribosomal RNA", at positions 1257 to 1500 of the family's 1533-position model. The record is from RNAcentral.